Molecule: ribosomal RNA, 480 nt
Filed under: uncultured bacterium
Lineage: Bacteria
Description: partial 16S ribosomal RNA
Rfam family: Bacterial small subunit ribosomal RNA
Source: RNAcentral
GAUGAACGCUAGCGGCAGGCCUAACACAUGCAAGUCGAGGGGGAAGUUACUUUCGGGUGACUGAGACCGGCGUACGGGUGCGUAACGCGUAUACAAUUUGCCUUUCACUGGGGGAUAGCCCGCAGAAAUUUGGAUUAAUACCCCCUAGUAUAUAGGGACGGCAUCGUUUUUAUCUUAAAGCUUCGGUGGUGAAAGUUGAGUAUGCGUUCUAUUAGUAGGUUGGAGAGGUAACGCCUCCCCAAGGCGAUGAUAGAUAGGGGUUCUGAGAGGGAUGUCCCCCAGACUGGUACUGAGGUACGGACCAGACUGCGACGGGAGGCAGCAGUGAGUAAUAUUGGAGAAUGGUCGGAAGACUGAUCCAGCCAUGCCUCGUGCAGGAGGAAUGUCUUAUGGAUUGUAAACUGCUUGUGAAAGAGAAGAAUAAGGUCUACGCGUAGUUUGAUGACGGUACCUUACGAAUAAGCACCGGCUAACUCCGUG